RNAcentral lists this ribosomal RNA (403 nucleotides) under uncultured Glomeromycotina. Its description in RNAcentral is "SSU rRNA". It matches the Rfam family "Eukaryotic small subunit ribosomal RNA", at positions 384 to 788 of the family's 1831-position model. Lineage: Eukaryota; Fungi; Glomeromycota. The record is from RNAcentral.
CGGAGAGGGAGCCUGAGAAACGGCUACCACAUCCAAGGAAGGCAGCAGGCGCGCAAAUUACCCAAUCCCAAUACGGGGAGGUAGUGACAAUAAAUAACAAUAUGGGGCUCUUGCGGGUCUCGUAAUUGGAAUGAGUACAAUUUAAAUCUCUUAACGAGGAACAAUUGGAGGGCAAGUCUGGUGCCAGCAGCCGCGGUAAUUCCAGCUCCAAUAGCGUAUAUUAAAGUUGUUGCAGUUAAAAAGCUCGUAGUUGAAUUUCGGAGUUUGUCGGUUGGUCGGGCUUCACUGUCCGCACUGGCCUGAUGGAUUCCUACCUUCUGAAUAACCAGCAUGCUAUUAAGUUAGUGCGUUGGGGAAGCAGAGCUAUUACCUUGAAAAAAUUAGAGUGCUUAAAGCAGGCUUA